Molecule: long non-coding RNA, 631 nt
Organism: Oncorhynchus tshawytscha (Chinook salmon)
Lineage: Eukaryota; Metazoa; Chordata; Actinopteri; Salmoniformes; Salmonidae
Source: Ensembl
GGGGUACCAGUACAGAGUCAAUGUGGAGGCUAUAUACAGGAGAUACCAGUACAGAGUCAAUGUGGAGGCUAUAUACAGGGGGUACCAGUACAGAGUCAAUGUGGAGGCUAUAUACAGGGGAUACCAGUACAGAGUCAAUGUGGAGGCUAUAUACAGGAGAUACCAGUACAGAGUCAAUGUGGAGGCUAUAUACAGGGGGUACCAGUACAGGGGGUACCAGUACAGAGUCAAUGUGGAGGCUAUAUACAGGGGGUACCAGUACAGAGUCAAUGUGGAGGCUAUAUACAGGGGGUACCAGUACAGAGUCAAUGUGGAGGCUAUAUACAGGGGGGUACCAGUACAGAGUCAAUGUGGAGGCUAUAUACAGGGGGUACCGGUACAGAGUCAAUGUGGAGGCUAUAUACAGGGGGUACCAGUACAGAGUCAAUGUGGAGGCUAUAUACAGUUGAGGUAACCUGUAAUUUGUACAUGUCGGUGGGGGUGAAGUGACUAUGCAAUAAACAGCGAGUAGCAGCAGAGGGGGGGAUCAAUGUAAAUUGUAGCGAUUGUAUUAAUUGUUCAGCAGUCUUAUGGCUUUGGUUGAGGAGGCUUUUGGUCCCAGACUUGGUGCUCCGGUACCACUUGAUGUGUG